GGUAAUUCCGUGAUUUUUAUUAAGGAAACAAUGAAGAAAAUUUAUGAUUAAUUUAUGGUUAGUUUAAUAAAAAGCUUAUUAUAUAUUUAUGUGGACCAACAUAUUUUUCUAAGGAUUCUAAGAAUGAUUGUGGUAAUGACAUAUGACUACAAAAAUAUGUUGUAAUACUUCUCUUUUAAUAUAUAAGGGAUACGUGACUAUGUAUAUGGAAAACAAUAUGGGAUUAUUUUUUAACCCCUUUCGCCUUCCGACUCAUGUUAUGCUUUAUAUGCGUGUUUUGUACUGGAAACACAUUAAACUUUCAUAUAUACCGUACGCAUAAUCUCGCAAUCCUACAGACGUGGAAUUUGAUUGGACUAAUUAAUUAGUUACGUUCAUUAAUCUAUCUGAACUUUAAUCCACGUGAUGUUAUAUAACUCUCGUGACUUUUACUCAGCACCCGUGAAUUGUUCUACGUAUACGUCAUAAACCAUUUCUUAAGAUUUAUUUUUUUGAGAACUUUCUUAAGAUUAAACUAUAACAUUUGAUAAUAGGAGUGAAGUGUUGCAGUAAAACUAUCUACAAUGAUAGUCUAUAAUCACAAAUCUAUUACAAAAAAAAACUCUAACAGCGGAUUUCUAUUUCGUUUGCAAAAGUUUUUUGAAGUGUGAGCGCGGAGCUGCAGCACUGAAGACAAAUCCCAUAUUUUUCAAAACGUUACAAGUGUGAGCAGGGACUACAUCACUCCGAGAACGGAUCACAUAUUUUGUUUGCAAAGUUAGUGUGAGCGCGGAGCUGCAACACUAGGAUCGUACUUUUGCAAAAUAAUACAAGUGUGAGCAGGGAGAUGUAGCACUCUGAGAGCAGAACUCAUAUUUCGUUUGCAAAAGUUUUUUGAAGUGUGAGCGAGGAACUGUAGCACUUGGGAACGGAUCCCAUAUAAAAUGAGUCGUAGAGCUUAUGGUUGAUUGUCUUGCUUGAUCGCCGGCUGGGUACCGAUACGUUUAUAGAAAAUCUAUACUAUAUUAAAAGGGAUAUAUGAGCUCCAUUGAGCCUAUCCACCUCAGCAUGGAAAAUCAUCCAAUGGGAUGGGUUCUUUUUGCCACGUCAUUCGUUCAUUCACACAACAUACGGACCUCUCCGUUUCGUCUUCCUCCCAUUACACCACUUCCGAUUCUCCUUCGCCUCCACAUCUAAGUCUCAUAAAAUUCAUGUGCUUAUCAUAACCCAAACGACAUGAAUCUGUUCCGAUGGAAUAAACCCUCUAUUGGUUUGUUAUGGCUAACUCGAGAAGGAGGGGAAAGCGGCGUGGAUGGAGACGGCGGCGGCGGUUACGUCGGAGUCAGAGAAAUUGAGAUUGGUUUUGACACCGGAGCAAACCGUGUCCCAGAGAUCCGGAGUGAGGCGUGUGGAUCUGAUGAGGUCGAAGGCUAGCUUCUUGCAAACGGCUGACGCCGGAGAUGCGACGAUCUCCUCCACUGCGGAAUUGGCGAUCACCGAAAAGUCCCGUCCGGUGGCAGAUUGUUAGAGAGCGGAUGAUUGGCUAAGGGCGUCAUUCGAUCGGAGAUCGGCCUGUAUCGGCCUGGAACGGAGGUGAUUGCUUACCAUUUUGAUGGAAACAAAUAUUUAGAUAUGUGAGAUUUAUAAUUCUGAGAAGUACAUAAUAAAAUUGUCAUAGGUUUGCCUCAAUCAAGUUUGUGGUUUCAAAGAAACCUGAUGGUCUAUAUCCUGUUGUUAGUGGAACAGGUAAUGUCGCUAAGGUAAAUAUGUUAUGUAUUCGCACUAUCUAUUGUCAAUAUUUUCACUCGCUAAAGGUCGACGAAAAUAUAUAUUCCUGCUCAGGUGACAAGAGACAGAGCAUAAAGAGUAUAUGGUAAAGAAAAACUGGAGAAAACAUAAACAUAUAAACUUUGGUUCUGGAUAUUCUAGAGAUCCUGAGACAAAUCAUGGUUAGAAAAUAAAAGUUAAUGAAUACAUAUCCACUGUGAGGAAUAAAUAUAGGAGAGGUGUUGCUGCACAGUAGGAGGGUUUUCUCUGGUGUUACGUCCUAGCGGAAGCAAGGCACCAUGCUUUGAUUUGGGCCAUUGAGAGCAUGGCAUCUCACAGGCUGAAUAAAGUAAUUUUUGAAACUGAAGAUGCAGAUUUGGUGGGUGCGGUGAAAAGACCGAGGGCGUGGCCAUCUUAUCGUGCGUAUGCUAUGGAGAUAAAAACUGCGCUGAGUAAUAUGCAUGAGUGGGAAUUGGAGGUGGUAUCAAGGAAAUCGAAUAUGAUCACCUUUUUGAUCGCAAGAAGUGUCACCAUGGAUAUGAGGUUGCAGUCGUAUGUUGCAAGGGGAGAGGUUGCUUGGCUGAGGGGUUUGUUUGCAGAAGAACGACUAACUUGCUAAAGGUAUUGAUAUGAGGAAAGGGGAUUAUGUUGGUGGGGUGAUGUCUAUGUUUUGUGGUGGAAAGACGUGAAUGAGUCUCAGGCUCUGUUCUUUUUGGGUGCUGUUUUAAUUUUUGGAUUGCUCUCAUGAGACUUUGGUUAUUGUUUAUCAUCAAAUAUACGUAUUUUCAUAGGAAAAAAAUCACAGAUUCACAAUCAUCAAUCUCAUAAUAUAUAGAAAUUUAAAACCAAUUUGAAUUAGAUAACAUAUCGUAAAAACUAAUUCAAAAAACGCAGGAAAAUUAGUGUGCUAAUAACACCGUCAAGAAAAUUUACUUCCAUUAUUCCAUUGAUAUUAUUAGAACUUAAAAUAAGAAGAACAAACCACUUUUAUGUCAAGAUAAGAGGGCCAAAUUACAUUUUCCAUCUUUAGUGCAUAAAUGUGAGUUACUCAUUUUUUAUAUUUCAAAAUUAUGAAUAUUUUAUAAUAAUACAUAUUCUAUGCUGACGGGAAAAACAAUUAUGUUCCAAACUUAGAGCUAACAAAACCAGGAAGUUUUUGUAAAUAUUCUGACAAAAUUUGUAAACGAUAUAUAUACAAAGGAUUUUAAGAAUUUUAAUUAAAAAUGAAAAACACAAUAGAAAAGGAUAUCCAAAUUUAAUGAUCAACUGCUUAAAAUACCAUACUUUAGAUACUGUUUUUAAUAUUAUUUCAAAUACAAAUAUUAUAGAAUUUGAAUUUACAGUAUAUUAAUUAUUAUUUAGUAUAUAGAGGAGAGGUUGAGUUUAUACACUUCUAUAAAUAUUUUAUAAAUGAUUCUUAAACAUUUAUAAAUGAUUUAAGAAAAUUAGUCUUAUUUUCAUCACAGAUUUAAGGUAUUUAUGCAAAUUGUUAUUUUUAAAAAUAAAUUUAGAAAAUAUAUCAAAUAUUAUGGUAAAUUUAGAAUUCCUUUAAUUUAAUAACAUAAAUAUGUAAUUUUGGCGUUAAUUUUUGAAUUAUUUCAAUAAAAAGUUCAUAAUUAACUGACUGGAUACAAAAUCACAACCUAGAUAUUAAUCACAAAGUUCAUAUGUUGUUAUCUAAUAUCUAUAUCUAUAAUAUCUUCUAUCUUUGUUCUUGGAAAUCGAUGAUGAAAAACAUGAAUCUCAUGAAAACGAAUAAUUUUUAAAAGAUAUUAUUUAGCAGAGAACGACAAAAAUAAAAUAAUAUUUGGUAGAGAUAUUUAGUCUUUGUAGCUGUAAACUUAAUUAUUUGCUUUAGAAUAUAAGCUGUAAAUUUGUAAAAAAAAAAUGUUGUAGCUGUAAACUUAAUCUAUUGAAAUAGAUUUAUAUCAAUAACUUUCAAAGCACUAAAUAUAAGUUCUUAAGAAAAUGAUUUUCAUAGCCAAUCUAUUUUCAGUUUAACUUUUGAAUUGUACCUUUAAAUUAUUUUUUUAAAGCAUGAUUGGUAAAUUAGAUUAGUUGUGAAAAAGUGUGGAAAGCAUUCAGAGUACUUACCAGUCACCUUCGAAAACUAUUAUAUUUUUUCAACAUUUAUGAAAUUUCAGAAAAAUACUCAAUAAGAAAUUAUCUUUUUACCUAUUAUCAAGGUAUUUACAAAAUAAAAUAUUUAUUGUAUCUAACUUUUUUGAAUUUAGAAGAAAAUUUCAGCAACCCCAUUUUAUUUUUCAUGCAUACUUCUAGAAAGUUUAGUUUUCUUGGUAAGAACUUAAACUUUUUAGCCACUAAUUAUACAAUACGAAUCAGAAAGAUAUAAUGAACAGAGGAGUUACGAAAUCAAAAUUUAAAAUGAUUGAGAUUUCAACCUGUUUUUCUACUGUGAUAAUAUAAUAGAUUUUAUAAUUAUUUUUGUUUGCAUUAUAAUUAAAUUUUAUUUUAGUAAUUUAUAUUUAUCACAGUUUUUAGUAUAUACUAUAUCUUUAAAUAUACUAACAUACUAUUUUAAAAUUAAUGAAAAUAAACCCGGGCGUAGCCCGGGAAAAGCUCUAGUAUUAGAGUAAUGAUUGAAAUUAGAUGAGAUUUAAAUUGUCCAUAAAAUACAAAUGUGUAUUAUUGCUUCCAUAAAUGCACAUAGCAUCCAUCAAACACAGAGUUUGGCUUCAUUAGGUGUGUAAUUCAUCUAUUUGAGCUCUGAGGUCGGCUUUCUUGGGUGUGGAGAUCAUUCAACAAGUGUGUGCGCAGAGCUUCGAUCACUUUGUCGAGUUCAUCCUUUGACUAUAGACGGAGUUCAUCAUGGUUGAUGCUCAGUUUUUAUCAUCAUUUUUGAAAGUCACUUUUGAGGCCAUAUGUUUUGAGGUUGUCUUUCGAUCGUUCGUGUUGAUGUCUUUGAGUAGGAGAUUGUUAACUUGGAGAAUGUCGUCAUCAAAGAGUAUUGUGAGCUUGUCAUUGUCGAAGAGCAGUGGUAGUUCGUCGGCGUCGGAAAGCAGUGAAAGCAUGUCAUCUUUUGGAGAUCAGUGUUAGGUCGUCGCCAAAGGGGAGUUGGAGUCGAGUUUGGUUGAGACAAGAAAAUCGAUGAAGUCAUUGUGACAUGGUUGUCAGAGAUAUGAUCGUCGAGGUGAGAUCUUCAAGGACGUGGUCGUCGAGAUAUAGUUGUCGAGAUGAGAUCGACGAUUUGAUCGAAGUCCUCAAAGCAAAUUAGUCGAGAUGAUGUCUCCAUAAUGUGGUCGUCGUUACGUGGUCGUCCAGGUGAUGUAGUUGUCAAGGCAAGGUCAUCAAAGACGUGUUUGCUUGAGACAUGAUUGUCGACUGAUCAAGGUUGUCAAGGUAUAUUGGUCGAGAUGGGGUCAUCAUGACAUGGUAUUUGGAGACAUGAUCGUCGAGGAAUAUUCAUCAUGGUACCGAGGUAGUCGAUGAUCGCGAGGUCAUCAAGGUAGUCGAUAGUCGUGAGGUAAACAUGGUACUGAAAUAGUCGAUGGUCGCGAGGUCAUCAAUGAAACCAAGGUAGUCGAUGGUCGCGAGAUAGUUGGUAGUUGCGAGGUCAUCGAGGUAGUCGGUAAUUGCAAGGUCAUCAUGGUACCGAGGUAGUCGAUGAUCGCGAGGUCGUUGAUGGUACCAAGGUAGUUGGUAAUCGCCGGGUAGUUGAUGGUCGCGAGGUAGUCGCUAGUCGCGAGUUCAUCGAGGUAGUCGGUGGUCGCUACGUCAUCAUGAUUCCGAGGUAGUCGAUGGUCGCCAGGUCAUCCCGGUAGUCAGUAGUCGAGCUCGUUUUGGACAAGAGAGGUCGUCUCGAACUCUUUGUGGUGGUAGUUUUUGGUAGUCAAAGGCGAGCUGGUAAUCAGAGACGAGAGAGGUCAUCUCGGACAUUUAGUGGUGGUAGAUUCUAGCAGUCGAAGGCGAGCUGGUAGCCGGAGACGAGAGAGGUCAACUCGGACUUUUAGUGGUGGUAGUUUCUGGUAGUCGAAGGCGAGCUGGUAGUCGGAGACGAGAGAGGUCAUCUUAUACUUUUGUGGUCUCUCUCCUCUUUCUUCCUUUUAAUGAUUUUGACACCUCAUUUUAUAGUGAAAAUACAAACUUAUCUUUAUGCGAAGUCAUCAUCUGAUAAAUUUGAUAAUAGAAGUGAGUUUUGGGCCCAAAACUUAAUGGACUUUGUGCUAGGUCCAUCUCCAACAAUUUGAUAAUAGGAGUGAGUGUUGCAGUAAAAUUAUCCACAAUGAUAGUUUAUAACCAUGAAUCUUUUCAAAAAACCAUUUAUUUAAGAUUUUUUUUAACAAUUUGAGAGACUCAUGAUAAAGUUUUUCAAAUGGUGAGAUAUUUCGUUGCAUAUACUCUAAUUAAAAGCCUAGCAAUAGUACUUAAAUGUAAUUAAAAUCUUUAAAUAUAAUAUCUUCUUUCUAUUAAAAGAAGUUUUCAUUCGUCCAUACAUAAUAAAAAUACAUUAAAUUUGUAUUGUAAAUAUAUCUUUUGUGAUUAUCAAUUUUUAAUACAGUUAAGCUUAGUAAUUCAAUAAACC
Brassica rapa (field mustard) is the source of this 6289-nucleotide long non-coding RNA. RefSeq lists it as uncharacterized. NCBI's taxonomy places the organism in Eukaryota, Viridiplantae, Streptophyta, Magnoliopsida, Brassicales, Brassicaceae. The record is from RefSeq and is a predicted model, not a curated record.